UAUCUUUGUAUUUUUAUAACGAUCCUCCCGAUCGUUUGUGAAAUUUUCUCUUUUUAUUUUUAUUUUAGUGCUCUCCGUAGUUUGUAAACAUGAUUUAUGACUUACGAUGGUGAGUAAUAUCGACAAUCUUGAGUAUUUGAAAGUAGUUUAAGUCAUUAACGGGAUUGUUGAGUUUGAAAAAGUUAAACCCGAUAAUAGUCAACUUUUGGUCAAGACAACCUCAAUUCGGUAUGUUAAUAUUUUCAAUAGGCCCGGAACGUACUUUUUAGUCAAGUUACGUAUUUGAUUUAUUUUUAUGGGGCUUCGAAUAAAUUUUGAGAAUUUAAUAAAAAUUUUAGGUAUUAGAUAAUUAAUUUAGUUAGAAGUAGUGGGUCAAAAGUACAUCUAUUUUCUUCUCAUGUAACCCACGUUAAGAUCAGUUGAAGUCAGUAGGUUUAACUUCAAACUAUAGCAGAAACUCAAACAAAGAACGAGUUACGUGUGGUUGAGUUGGGAAGAAGAGAUCUCGAUAACUUGAGAUUUGAAAUAUUCGGAAGCUUUAUGGAAGGGCAAGACUCUUGCAAGGUAGCUUGUAUUUGAGUUCUUCGGUUGAGAAAUUGUUCUAGAGGCUCAUACAUGAUCUCACCUCUAGAGUUUGAUAGCAGAUCUUGAUCCAAGGGUAAGCACUCCGUCUUCAGGCUUCCAUGGGUCAUCUUAUUUGUUCUUGUCCAUCUUUCGGGCAAUGAAACAUUCUUUAUUUACUUUAUUUUGAGAUAUCUCUUUAGACAUGAUCUUUGUUAGUAGUUCUUGUAUGAUGACUUUCGGGUCUUGGGAAUUUCAGUUAGUAGAUUGUUUGGUUUUCGAGCUACUGAUGAUUAAUCACAGAUUAUUAUUGUUAAGAUGAUUUUAUGAAAAUAUCCUUUUAAUAUUGACUAA
Molecule: long non-coding RNA, 915 nt
Organism: Capsicum annuum
Lineage: Eukaryota; Viridiplantae; Streptophyta; Magnoliopsida; Solanales; Solanaceae
Exons: 3
Source: RefSeq, a predicted model, not a curated record